GACGAACGCUGGCGGCGUGCUUAACACAUGCAAGUCGAACGGAAAGGCCCUGCUUUUGUGGGGUGCUCGAGUGGCGAACGGGUGUGUAACACGUGAGUAACCUGCCCUUGACUUUGGGAUAACUUCAGGAAACUGGGGCUAAUACCGGAUAGGAGCUCCUGCUGCAUGGUGGGGGUUGGAAAGUUUCGGCGGUUGGGGAUGGACUCGCGGCUUAUCAGCUUGUUGGUGGGGUAGUGGCUUACCAAGGCUUUGACGGGUAGCCGGCCUGAGAGGGUGACCGGCCACAUUGGGACUGAGAUACGGCCCAGACUCCUACGGGAGGCAGCAGUGGGGAAUAUUGCACAAUGGGCGGAAGCCUGAUGCAGCAACGCCGCGUGCGGGAUGACGGCCUUCGGGUUGUAAACCGCUUUCGCCUGUGACGAAGCGUGAGUGACGGUAAUGGGUAAAGAAGCACCGGCUAACUACGUGCCAGCAGCCGCGGUGAUACGUAGGGUGCGAGCGUUGUCCGGAUUUAUUGGGCGUAAAGGGCUCGUAGGUGGUUGAUCGCGUCGGAAGUGUAAUCUUGGGGCUUAACCCUGAGCGUGCUUUCGAUACGGGUUGACUUGAGGAAGGUAGGGGAGAAUGGAAUUCCUGGUGGAGCGGUGGAAUGCGCAGAUAUCAGGAGGAACACCAGUGGCGAAGGCGGUUCUCUGGGCCUUUCCUGACGCUGAGGAGCGAAAGCGUGGGGAGCGAACAGGCUUAGAUACCCUGGUAGUCCACGCUGUAAACGGUGGGUACUAGGUGUGGGGUCCAUUCCACGGGUUCCGUGCCGUAGCUAACGCUUUAAGUACCCCGCCUGGGGAGUACGGCCGCAAGGCUAAAACUCAAAGGAAUUGACGGGGCCCCGCACAAGCGGCGGAGCAUGCGGAUUAAUUCGAUGCAACGCGUAGAACCUUACCUGGGUUUGACAUGGAUCGGGAGCGCUCAGAGAUGGGUGUGCCUCUUUUGGGGUCGGUUCACAGGUGGUGCAUGGCUGUCGUCAGCUCGUGUCGUGAGAUGUUGGGUUAAGUCCCGCAACGAGCGCAACCCUUGUUCACUGUUGCCAGCACGUUAUGGUGGGGACUCAGUGGAGACCGCCGGGGUCAACUCGGAGGAAGGUGGGGAUGACGUCAAGUCAUCAUGCCCCUUAUGUCCAGGGCUUCACGCAUGCUACAAUGGCUGGUACAGAGAGUGGCGAGCCUGUGAGGGUGAGCGAAUCUCGGAAAGCCGGUCUCAGUUCGGAUUGGGGUCUGCAACUCGACCUCAUGAAGUCGGAGUCGCUAGUAAUCGCAGAUCAGCAACGCUGCGGUGAAUACGUUCCCGGGGCU
Molecule: ribosomal RNA, 1346 nt
Filed under: uncultured bacterium
Lineage: Bacteria
Description: bacterial SSU rRNA
Rfam family: Bacterial small subunit ribosomal RNA
Source: RNAcentral